UUUAUCGGAGAGUUUGAUCCUGGCUCAGGACGAACGCUGGCGGCGUGCCUAAUACAUGCAAGUCGAGCGGACAGAUGGGAGCUUGCUCCCUGAUGUUAGCGGCGGACGGGUGAGUAACACGUGGGUAACCUGCCUGUAAGACUGGGAUAACUCCGGGAAACCGGGGCUAAUACCGGAUGGGUGUUUGAACCGCAUGGGUCAAACAUAAAAGGGGGCUUCGGCUACCACUUACAGAUGGACCCGCGGCGCAUUAGCUAGUUGGUGAGGGAACGGCUCACCAAGGCAACGAAGCGUAACCGACCUGAGAGGGGGAUCGGGCACACUGGGACUGAGA
RNAcentral lists this ribosomal RNA (334 nucleotides) under Bacillus subtilis subsp. subtilis. RNAcentral's name for it is "bacterial SSU rRNA". It matches the Rfam family "Bacterial small subunit ribosomal RNA", at positions 1 to 324 of the family's 1533-position model. The record is from RNAcentral. Lineage: Bacteria; Bacillati; Bacillota; Bacilli; Caryophanales; Bacillaceae.